RNAcentral lists this ribosomal RNA (460 nucleotides) under uncultured bacterium. RNAcentral describes it as "partial 16S ribosomal RNA". It matches the Rfam family "Bacterial small subunit ribosomal RNA", at positions 338 to 795 of the family's 1533-position model. The record is from RNAcentral.
CCUACGGGAGGCAGCAGUGAGGAAUAUUGGUCAAUGGACGAGAGUCUGAACCAGCCAAGUAGCGUGAAGGAUGACUGCCCUCUGGGUUGUAAACUUCUUUUAUAAAGGAAUAAAACGAGGCACGUGUGCCUCUUUGCAUGUACUUUAUGAAUAAGGAUCGGCUAACUCCGUGCCAGCAGCCGCGGUAAUACGGAGGAUCCGAGCGUUAUCCGGAUUUAUUGGGUUUAAAGGGAGCGUAGAUGGGUUGUUAAGUCAGUUGUGAAAGUUUGGGGCUCAACCGUAAAAUUGCAAUUGAUACUGGCAGUCUUGAGUACAGUUGAGGUAGGCGGAAUUCGUGGUGUAGCGGUGAAAUGCUUAGAUAUCACGAAGAACACCGAUUGCGAAGGCAGCUUACUAAACUGUGACUGACAUUGAUGCUCGAAAGUGUGGGUAUCAAACAGGAUUAGAUACCCUGGUAGUC